UUUUAGGGCUUCUGCCAUGAGUGACACACAUAAGACAACUUGAAUAUUCUAUUUGUGGAAUAGACAUCAAGAUUUCGGAAGCAUUUUUUUGAUAUCUUGGCAGCUGGUGAUUGUUGAUCCUGGCACCCAC
Molossus molossus (Pallas's mastiff bat) is the source of this 130-nucleotide small nuclear RNA. RefSeq annotates it as U11 spliceosomal RNA. The record is from RefSeq and is a predicted model, not a curated record. The transcript has a single exon. NCBI's taxonomy places the organism in Eukaryota, Metazoa, Chordata, Mammalia, Chiroptera, Molossidae.